RNAcentral lists this unclassified non-coding RNA (337 nucleotides) under soil metagenome. RNAcentral describes it as "partial contains 5.8S ribosomal RNA, internal transcribed spacer 2, and large subunit ribosomal RNA". The stretch from base 1 to 120 matches the Rfam family "5.8S ribosomal RNA", at positions 35 to 154 of the family's 154-position model. The record is from RNAcentral.
GAUGAAGAACGCAGCGAAAUGCGAUAAGUAAUGUGAAUUGCAGAAUUCAGUGAAUCAUCGAAUCUUUGAACGCACAUUGCGCCCGCCAGCAUUCUGGCGGGCAUGCCUGUUCGAGCGUCAUUUCAACCCUCAAGCUCUGCUUGGUGUUGGGGCCCUACGGUUGACGUAGGCCCUUAAAGGUAGUGGCGGACCCUCUCGGAGCCUCCUUUGCGUAGUAACUAACGUCUCGCAUUGGGAUUCGGAGGGACUCUUGCCGUAAAACCCCCAAAUUUUCUAUGGUUGACCUCGGAUCAGGUAGGAAUACCCGCUGAACUUAAGCAUAUCAAUAAGCGGAGGA